This 252-nucleotide ribosomal RNA is filed under the name uncultured bacterium. RNAcentral describes it as "partial 16S ribosomal RNA". It matches the Rfam family "Bacterial small subunit ribosomal RNA", at positions 525 to 776 of the family's 1533-position model. The record is from RNAcentral.
ACGGAGGGUGCAAGCGUUAUCCGGAUUUAUUGGGUUUAAAGGGUCCGCAGGCGGAUCAAUAAGUCAGUGGUGAAAGCCCGCAGCUCAACUGCGGAACUGCCAUUGAUACUGUUGAUCUUGAGUGUGGUUGAAGUGGGCGGAAUGUGUCGUGUAGCGGUGAAAUGCUUAGAUAUGACACAGAACACCAAUUGCGAAGGCAGCUCACUAAGCCAUUACUGACGCUCAGGGACGAAAGCGUGGGGAGCGAACAGG